RNAcentral lists this ribosomal RNA (430 nucleotides) under bacterium. RNAcentral describes it as "partial 16S ribosomal RNA". It matches the Rfam family "Bacterial small subunit ribosomal RNA", at positions 355 to 776 of the family's 1533-position model. The record is from RNAcentral.
UGGGGAAUAUUGGACAAUGGGCGAAAGCCUGAUCCAGCCAUGCCGCGUGUGUGAAGAAGGCCUUUUGGUUGUAAAGCACUUUAAGCGAGGAGGAGGCUACUUAGAUUAAUACUCUAGGAUAGUGGACGUUACUCGCAGAAUAAGCACCGGCUAACUCUGUGCCAGCAGCCGCGGUAUUACAGAGGGUGCGAGCGUUAAUCGGAUUUACUGGGCGUAAAGCGUGCGUAGGCGGCUUUUUAAGUCGGAUGUGAAAUCCCUGAGCUUAACUUAGGAAUUGCAUUCGAUACUGGGAAGCUAGAGUAUGGGAGAGGAUGGUAGAAUUCCAGGUGUAGCGGUGAAAUGCGUAGAGAUCUGGAGGAAUACCGAUGGCGAAGGCAGCCAUCUGGCCUAAUACUGACGCUGAGGUACGAAAGCAUGGGGAGCAAACAGG